This 274-nucleotide ribosomal RNA is filed under the name uncultured bacterium. RNAcentral's name for it is "partial 16S ribosomal RNA". It matches the Rfam family "Bacterial small subunit ribosomal RNA", at positions 523 to 796 of the family's 1533-position model. The record is from RNAcentral.
AUACGGAGGGUCCGAGCGUUAUCCGGAAUCAUUGGGUUUAAAGGGUCCGUAGGCGGGAAUCUAAGUCAGUGGUUAAAUCUUGCAGCUCAACUGUAAAAUUGCCAUUGAUACUGGAUUUCUUGAAUUAGUGUGAAGUGGUUAGAAUGUGUAGUGUAGCGGUGAAAUGCAUAGAUAUUACACAGAAUACCAAUUGCGAAGGCAGAUCACUAACACUAUAUUGACGCUGAGGGACGAAAGCGUGGGGAGCUAACAGGAUUAGAAACCCCAGUAGUCC